Molecule: unclassified non-coding RNA, 381 nt
Filed under: uncultured bacterium
Lineage: Bacteria
Description: contains 16S-23S intergenic spacer region
Source: RNAcentral
UCCGGUUUGUCACCGGCAGUAUCCUGUGAGUCCCCGGCCGAGCCGCUGGCAACAUAGGAUAGGGGUUGCGCUCGUUGCGGGACUUAACCCAACAUCUCACGACAUGAGCUGACGACAGCCAUGCAGCACCUGUGUAAGCUGGUAUUGCUACCUCGUCACUCUUUCAAGCUUCUACUACCUACAUGUCAAGGCCAGGUAAGGUUCUUCGCGUUGCAUCGAAUUAAGCCACAUACUCCACCGCUUGUGCAGGCCCCCGUCAAUUCCUUUGAGUUUCAGCCUUGCGGCCGUACUCCCCAGGCGGGGUACUUCCUGCGUUAGCGCCGGCACCCAAGGGGUCGCUCCCCCAGGCACCUAGUACCCAUCGUUUACGGCGUGGACUAC